AGUGAACGCUGGCGGUAGGCCUAACACAUGCAAGUCGAACGGCAGCACAGGAGAGCUUGCUCUCUGGGUGGCGAGUGGCGGACGGGUGAGGAAUACAUCGGAAUCUACUCUGUCGUGGGGGAUAACGUAGGGAAACUUACGCUAAUACCGCAUACGACCUACGGGUGAAAGCAGGGGACCUUCGGGCCUUGCGCGAUAGAAUGAGCCGAUGUCGGAUUAGCUAGUUGGGGGGGUAAAGGCCCACCAAGGCGACGAUCCGUAGCUGGUCUGAGAGGAUGAUCAGCCACACUGGAACUGAGACACGGUCCAGACUCCUACGGGAGGCAGCAGUGGGGAAUAUUGGACAAUGGGCGCAAGCCUGAUCCAGACAUACCGCGUGGGUGAAGAAGGCCUUCGGGUUGUAAAGUCCUUUUGUUGGGAAAGAAAUCCAGCUGGCUAAUACCCGGUUGGGAUGACGGUACCCAAAGAAUAAGCACCGGCUAACUUCGUGCCAGCCGCCGCCGUAA
RNAcentral lists this ribosomal RNA (506 nucleotides) under uncultured bacterium. RNAcentral describes it as "partial 16S ribosomal RNA". It matches the Rfam family "Bacterial small subunit ribosomal RNA", at positions 29 to 523 of the family's 1533-position model. The record is from RNAcentral.